UAUAUAUAUGAAUAAUAUUUCAGCUGUCUGUACAAAAAAUACAAAGUAACAAAAUUCAAAAUGCAGAAUUUUUAUUAAUUUGAAAUCUUUAUAAUGCUGCUGGCAUUAUAUUUGGAAUUCAAAAUUAAAAUAUCUGCAUUAAGAAAAUGAUGAAAAAAUAAGUAAUAAUGAUGAAAUAUUAUUACUUAAAAUGUAAAUGCUAAAAUUUAUUAACAUGCUUCUAAUUAAUUUGAUCAGAAUUUUAUUUUAAAAUCUACUGUAUGUGAAAUUUUAUAAGCUAACUGAUGAUAAUUUAAUAUGAAUAUUCGUAAAAUCAGACAAUUCUAAAGGGCUUCUCCUGCAUCAAACCAAUACUACAGCUGUCAAAUCAUCUGUAAAUCACUAAGAUAUCCAUUAAUGAUUAAUAGCAAAAGAAAUUAAACACGUAAAUGGAUCGAAUUUAGCAUUGCUGUGUCCCAGAUUCCCUUAGACAGUCGAAAGGGAAAAAACAAAAAGUGUCUUCAAAUCUGGCUGUUUCACAUUGCCAAAAAGCAAUUCAUCCAUGACUUCACUUGGAAUCCGAUGAAAUUGUGAUGCUGGUUUUUAACAUCAUCCCCCCUUCUGAGUCUGUGGCUACUGCAGAAGGCUCAAAAACUUUUAAGAAACAUUACCCAGACCAAAGCUGCAUAGCACUUCAAUAACUCGAUAUUCAGUUCACUAACUAUUCUUCCGAAUUGAGUGGUUUGAGUGUCCAAAUUUUGCUCUGAAACGGAAAUGGUCUGGCGAGCAUUACCUUGUUUAACCUGUAAAAGAGAAUCUAAAAAUUCAUUAGAUGAUAUUGGCAAAGGAAAUAUUCUCUGAAUAGGUCUGGUUAAUGUUAAUUUUCAGUUUCACAAUGCACACUUUAUAGAAUGAACCUUACCAUCUUUCCUCAUCCACUCCCUUUUACGAAAAUAUUUUAUUAGGUGGCCAUGAUGGAUUCUACCACCACAGAGUUUUAGCUAACUUUUCAGGGGAACAUCCUCGAGAAAUAACAUCAACAUUCAUUUUACCACGAACCUAUCCCUAAUUUCGUAGAGAAGUCAAAUGGUGGAUCUCAUUCAGUCUAUAUGAGACAUAGAUGCCUUUCCUGUUGUCAAAUCCUUCAAAAGGCCACUCACACCACGAUUUAAGUUUUACUUCAGGCAAAUUGAGCAGUCUAAUGGAAUGUGCUAAUAAAGUUCCUAUACAACACAAAAUUAGUUCUAAUUUCAUUAUCGACAAUUCCUUCCUUGGUGCAACUCUAGAUUUGGUUCGUAAGAAACUAAUUUCAAUACCAAGAGAAACCUCUGUUCAUAUAAAAAUGCAAGCAUCAUAUGAUGUUUUACAUUUGUCUACAAAUACAUUUAAUUCAGAUGUCUUAUUUACUUCCACGUGUAGUGGAACUUCGACAUUAUUCAAGAUCGGCAGCUUUACAAACCAAUCUUAAAAAAAAAAAAAACUUACUUCUGCAUCAGUAAGUUUGCAAGUUCAAAAUUCCAUGCAAAUCGAAUAUUUGCUGUACCAAAGACAAAACACCUCUCUUUGAUUUUGUUUAAAUUCAGUAGUAGGUACUAAGCAUCUCAGGGUAUCUCAAUCCAAAUUCCAUAUCAUAUCCAAAAGAUAUGUAUCCCCAGCUGAUUUGGAGAUAUGUAAACUAGGUAUGUUAUUUUCCCAGUUUCUUAAAAUAUCCACAUUUCAGUAAACUUUGGACUUGAGGGACACAUUCCUGUUAUUCAGUUAUCAACAUAAAAUGUAUGACGAAGACAAGCCACAAGAUGAGAAUAUUCCUUAGAGGCAUUCCCUAGCAAAUGAUUUAAAGAUCCUAUAAGGAUAAAAGCACUUGCUGUCAUCCCAAAUACUAUUCUGCAAUGUUUGUAAAGAAUUGCUUCAUAUUCAGAAGAAAAAAGAAUCUAAGAAAAUUUCUUUGCUGUGGAUUAAUACUCAAUUGUAAGAAGGCCCUUUCUAUUCUGAACAAUGGGAUACGAUCUAAAUCUAUCCAUUAUAUCGGAUAUUAACUCGGGUUUGGUCAAUCAGGAUAAUUUAAGAAUAGCUGAUUUUCCUCUUUUGGAGAAUCCGACUUUUUUUAGGUUCGGAUAUUUUCAUUAGUUACUGGGCUGAUGAGGUAAAUAAUGCUUGAAAUCAUUUACCCCCUCGUCUUGAACUUCUUCAAUAAUUCCUAGCCUUUCCCGUUCUUUACAUAUAGAAAUGUAAUCACCUAGAUCAGGGUCUCGAAACUACAGCCCGCCAGUGUCAUCAAUCCCCCCCCCGCGACAGCUAAUGGCUUAUUGUUGUCGUGAUAAGUUGGAUAGAAUAACUCAAUUUUGUUUUCUUGCUAGGUAAAGCUUAAUGACAAGUGUCCACUUGUAAAAAAUACUAAAGAGAUUUAUAUAAAUGAUUUUCCACUAGCAAUAGUUUGUAGCUGUGGACCAAUUUUACUUGUACCAAUUGUUAAAAGAAAUUUAAGAUGCUCAUCGGUUAACUUAGAUGUGUAAGCAUUUUUUGUGUACUUAAUUUUGGAGAAUGUUUUCUCACACAAAUAGUACCAAAAGCAAAAAAAAAUUCCCACGAGCAAAUUAUCAAAUUGUACCGGUGAAAGACUCUUUAAACUUCCAACAAAGAUGAGUUUUGAUGGUUGUUCUUAAUUAUAUCUCUGCAUUGUAAAUCAGUAACGAAAAAUCUUAAUUUCAUUCACAAUGACAAUAAAAUUUAUCUUUAAAGCUUCGAUUGCAAAAUCAACAAGAAAUUUAGUGCGGCUGAAUGUUUCGCAUUUUUUAAUAUGUGUGAAAUAUUUUUUAUGUUAUUGUGAUUGAAAUAGUAUUUUCUGCUGGAAAAAUUUCAUAUUAGUGUAUAAAUCAGGAAGAAGCUGCUUUCCUCCCUGCAAUCUCAAAUUCAAUUUGUUCAUAUGUUUUGCUAUAUCGACAUAGAAUGCCAUUUAAAUUCAUUCACCAUUUUGUAAUUCAAUAAGAGGGUGAUGCUUCUAAAAAUAUGUUCCCUUUAAAGAAUAUACACUAUUAUAACAAAAUUUUAUUUUUUCCCUUAAUGUAAUGAUAUAUAAUGCUAUAUAAAUAAUGUAAUGAUAUAUAAAUAUUUUUUUAAUUAUAUCACCAUCUCUAAUCACACUAACACAGUUUUUCACACUUACGAGAUAAUGAAUUAUGAUUUUGGAUAUUAAAAACUUUUCAAUUUUGCCUCUAAGAUUGUUUUCUUGUAUAAAUAUCAUAUGACAGAAUCUUGACAGGUUUUUCUUAGAUAUUAAAGAAGAAUAGAUGCACAAGCAGUUAUUUGGAAAUUCAGUGAUCAAAUUCUAAACCUAUUUCAUUGACAGAAAAUUUUAGAACUUCUAUAUUUUUCAGAAACAUAUUAUUUUUAUACAGGGGGGCUAAGGUGUCAUAAUUUUAAGGGAUUGUAAAUAAUGACAAAAGUAACAAUUUUUAUAAUCCACUUUGUAGUCAGAAAUAAACUAAGUUUUUCACAAGAAGACACUUCUAAAGGGUAUGCAAAUCACUCUGGUGCAUGUACUGCAGUUGGUGGCUGUUCACUUAAACAAUUCUUCUGAAUAUUGAAAAUUGUUUCUAGUAAAUACCUGAUCAAACUUUCCUUUUGCUUACUUUUUCUUACCAUAUAUGAUUCACAUGCAUUGUAUUAGAAAAAUUGUUACUUUUGCCUUGUUCUAUGCUCUUAAAAUUUUGGAUCCCGUAACUGUUAUCUAGAAUCUCUCUAUGCAUCCAAAAUUGCUAUCAAAAAGACAAUCAGCAUCACAAGAUUAAUUGCCAUUGGAAAGAAACUUCCAAUAUUUCAUUUAUAAAUAGAAAUUAGCUAUUUAAGUGUAUGAUAGUGAUACUGAAGAUGUUUCAUUUGAAAAACUGAAUUACUCAGUUUUGAAAUAAACAGAACAAGAUGUUUUUCUCAAAAAAUUCUUAAGCAGUACAUAAAAUAAUUAUGAAGAUUUAUCACAGUUCUAAACAAUUUAAAACUUGUAUUUUAGUUUUUUAAAUUAACAAAUUAUAAUGCAUAAAUAAUUUCUGUUCAAGAAACUGAUUCCAACAACUUUAUUCAUUAAGAAAUAAUAAUUGUUAAAAAAUUGAUUCAUUGUCUUUUUUCAAUGAUUUUGUACUCCAUUUCCUUUAUAAAAAUAUGGAGUAACUACUAAUAGUGUUGAUAGUAAUCUCAUAUAUCAAAUAACAAAACGAGGUAGUAUAAUUGAUAUUAGAUUAUUACCUUGAUUAUUUAAGAACUACGGACAGUUAACCAGAUCACUUAAACUGCCAUCCAAUCAUUUUUAUUUGUGACAAUUUUUAAGGGUAAUACAAAAUCACCUAUAUUAAGCUACUUUCUUUUAAACACCAAUUAAUCAUUAAAAGGUUCAUUUUGUAAAGGAAACAUGGAAUAUAUUCAACAACUAUAAAUGCUGCAAAUACUCAUUUUGUAAAAUGAAAGGCGUUAAUAUUAUUUUACAAAUUUUAAAAAGUUAGAUUUCCACUUUAUUUUGCUUACUGUAUACAAAAUUUCUAGAGAAUAUAUAUGUACAUAUUUAAAUAUGGAAAAAAUUGUCAAUGAAAUAACCAAUCAUUAUCCAGGUCUCAAAACUUUUCAAGAUUAAAAAUGUAAAAUGAAAGAGAAAAAUUAUAUCAAUUAAUCAAGGAUCUAUAAAUACUUCAAAACUAAAAUUAAUACUUCAGUGCACAUAUUCCUAUUAGAUAGUCACACAUUUGCUUUCUAAUGAGAAUAACAACGUACAGAUAUCAGCAGAUUUUAACAAAUCAUUUUUUAAAACAUGAAUGUAAACAAUCUAUUAUCAAAUUUCAAACAUGCACAAAACUAAAUUAUCACUUUCUUAUAAGAGAAUUCAAUCAAAUACUAAUGUUAAAUAAUUUUCUGAAAGAGGCAUAUUAAAUCGUUAUAACUUUUUAAAAGAUUACUGAUUAAUUCAUCAUUUCUUAAAAAAUGAUUAUAUUAUCACAUUUGCUGAGUAUUAAUCGUUAGCCCCAUAUUCUUAAAAGCAUAUUAGAUGCUAAACAUAUUCAUUUCAUAAAAAAGGAGUAUUAAAUUAUUUUCAAAAGGUAUUAAUUACCAUCUCAAAUAAAAUUAUAAAGAAGCAUUUAAAAGAAAGAAUAUACUUGUGCUUCAAAGCUAUCAUUUCAUUUCAGAGACUUUACAAGAGAUGCUAAAACACUGAAAUCCAAGAAAUUAGGAAAGGUGUAAAAUUUUUAACUGCAGUUACAUUCACUAGAUGGCAUGCUAUCUUAGAAUCCAGAAUAUGUGGCUAGCUUUUGAAUUGUGACAAACCAGUACUAUGUUGACUUGUUUUGAAAUUUUAUUCGGAAUUGAAUAUUUUUUAAAAAUUAUAUUAUUUAUAAAAUGGAUGAAAAGGCAAGCAUUGAGAAUUUUGCAAUAUUUAUGCAAGAUGGAGUAAUUAUGAGAGAAAAGGCAAUCAUUGGAUUUCGUGACAAUUGUGCAGAAUGAAAACUCAAUUUACUUGUCUGUAUAUUUUUGCCUAAAAUGAAGUAAUAAGCCAUGCCUUAUAUUAGUUAUUCUUUCAAAAAUAUUUUUUCUGUCUGCUUAGGUCAGAUAAUGGCUUAUAGCAAUAAUGAUGGCUUAAAAUUAACAUUUGUGAUAAGGCAUUUUAUGUCCUUUUAUGAAUAAAGUGACAUCUGCUAAACAGCUAUAAUUAAACAAUUUGCAUAACAAAAUUUCUUGGAAACUCAUUUUUAGACAUUUCUAUAAAUAAUACAUUCAUUGAAAAUUAAAAAAAUAGAUACAUUCUAAAAACUUGUUUCCUCUAAGAUUGCUUUAUAUUUUAAUUUAAAACAAGACUCUAAUGUCUUUUUAAAAGAACCAAAGAAUUUUAAAUUAUUGUAUUUGUUGCAGUGCAUAUGGCAGUUAUGGAGAUAGAUCAGUAUACUGCCUGCUGAAAUUUUUCAUUUAAAUAUUUAAAAAUAAAAGUAUUUUCAUAAUGUCUAGCUUCACUGAUAUUAUAUGGUCUAAAAAUUUAGAAACAUAUCUGAAAGCUCAAAAGCAAAAUCACCUCCAUUUAUAUAGAUAAAUAACCAAAAAAUUAUUAAAACUAAUAAACCAAAAAUAUGCUAAUAUUUAAUCUCUUAAAAUUCAGGUUUUGGUACUCAUUUCAAAUUCUUUGUCACAAACAAUAUGAAAUUAAUAUACAUUAAAUGAUUACAUGGUCUUAUACUGAUGCUACUAGGACUACUUUCACAAGUGAUAAAUAUAACACUAGUCACAUGCAAAAUAUGUUUUGAAGAAGUAACAAUAAUUAAUAAACAUAAAAGAGUUAUAAAUGUAGCUGAAAAAAAAUCUCGACCCCCCACCCCAAAAUAACAAUGCUGCCUCUUUCAUGAAAGAAAAAUUAAAAAUAUCCAAUAUUUAUAUGCAAAUUUAAGCUGUAAUAAAAUUUGCAGAAUGAUUUAAAAUAAAGUAUUAGCAAUCUGACAAUUAUCUUUUCACUUGAAUACAGAUGUGUAACUGCUAUUCAUAAAAAUUGCAUUAAAUUUUGGAUCACAUUUUUUAAAAUGUAUACAUUUUCUGAAGUGUAAAUGUUCUAAAAUGAUGAAUCACUUGUGAUGACUUUUUUUAUAAUCAUGUUGAAGAACAUGCUUUCCUCAUAUGUUACAAAAUAAAACUUUUAUAUGUCUCACUUUCUGAAGUGUUUCGUUACCUUUCCACCGUAAGCAUGUUCUCAAUACCAGAAUCAGUAAUUGACUAUCUUCAGACGUAAAAAAUACAGACAUGUAAAUCAUUUUUUCACAUAACAAAACUACCACACACACAUAACA
This 6788-nucleotide long non-coding RNA is filed under the name Stegodyphus dumicola. Its description in RNAcentral is "uncharacterized LOC118196194". The record is from RNAcentral. Lineage: Eukaryota; Metazoa; Arthropoda; Arachnida; Araneae; Eresidae.